Molecule: ribosomal RNA, 1243 nt
Filed under: metagenome
Description: bacterial LSU rRNA
Rfam family: Bacterial large subunit ribosomal RNA
Source: RNAcentral
UGAAUACGAGACGCUAAGGCGUCGAAGUAGUGUAUGUCAUACUUCCAAGAAAAGCUUGCACUGUCAUAGAUAAAAAACGCCUGUACCAUAACCGACACAGGUGGGUAGGUAGAGUAUACUAAGGGGCGCGAGAUAACUCUCUCUAAGGAACUCGGCAAAAUAACUCCAUAACUUCGGGAGAAGGAGUGCCUUAUUCGUAAGGUUGCAAUAACAAGAUCCAAGCAACUGUUUAUCAAAAACACAGGUCUCCGCUAAGUCGUAAGACGAUGUAUGGGGGCUGACGCCUGCCCAGUGCCAGAAGGUUAAAGAAGUUGGUUAGCAAUUGAGAAGCUGAUAACUGAAGCCCUGGUGAACGGCGGCCGUAACAAUAACGGUCCUAAGGUAGCGAAAUUCCUUGUCGGGUAAGUUCCGACCCGCACGAAAGGCGUAAUGAUUUGGAUACUGUCUCGGAGAGGGGCUCGGUGAAAUAGACUUGUCUGUGAAGAUGCGGACUACCUGCACCAGGACAGAAAGACCCUAUGAAGCUUUACUGUAACUUGAAAUCGAAAUUGGACUUUAUUCGCGCAGUAUAGGUGGGAGGCGUUGAUUAUAAUCUUGUGGGAUUAUUGGAGCCAUCAGUGAGAUACCACUCUUGUAAUGUUAGAUUUCUAACUUUGAAUCAUUAUCUGGUCAAAGAACAGUUUCAGGCGGGCAGUUUGACUGGGGCGGUCGCCUCCUAAACGGUAACGGAGGCGUACAAAGGUUUCCUCUGAACGGUUAGAAAUCGUAUCUAGAGUGUAAAGGCAUAAGGAAGCUUGACUGUGAGACCUACAAGUCGAGCAGGGACGAAAGUCGGUCUUAGUGAUCUGACGGUACUGAGUGGAAAGGCCGUCACUCAACGGAUAAAAGUUACUCUAGGAUAACAGGCUGAUCUCCCCCAAGAGUUCACAUCGACGGGGAGGUUUGGCACCUCGAUGUCGGCUCAUCGCAUCCUGGGGCGGUAGUACGUCCCAAGGGUUGGGCUGUUCGCCCAUGAAAGCGGUACGCGAGCUGGGUUCAGAACGUCGUGAGACAGUUCGGUCCAUAUCCGGUGUAGGCGUUAGAAUAUUGAGAGGAGCCUUCUUUAGUACGAGAGGACCGAGAAGGACAUACCUCUGGUGUACCAGUUAUCGUGCCAACGGUAAACGCUGGGUAGCUAUGUAUGGAGUGGAUAACCGCUGAAAGCAUCUAAGUGGGAAGCCCACCUCAAGAUAAGUAUUCUCAU